CAGCAGCCGCGGUAAUACGUAGGUGGCAAGCGUUGUCCGGAAUUAUUGGGCGUAAAGGGCUCGCAGGCGGUUUCUUAAGUCUGAUGUGAAAGCCCCCGGCUCAACCGGGGAGGGUCAUUGGAAACUGGGAAACUUGAGUGCAGAAGAGGAGAGUGGAAUUCCACGUGUAGCGGUGAAAUGCGUAGAGAUGUGGAGGAACACCAGUGGCGAAGGCGACUCUCUGGUCUGUAACUGACGCUGAGGAGCGAAAGCGUGGGGAGCGAACAGGAUUAGAUACCCCGGUAGUCCCUGUCUCUUAUAU
RNAcentral lists this ribosomal RNA (301 nucleotides) under uncultured bacterium. Its description in RNAcentral is "partial 16S ribosomal RNA". It matches the Rfam family "Bacterial small subunit ribosomal RNA", at positions 509 to 809 of the family's 1533-position model. The record is from RNAcentral.